CAGCAGCCGCGGGAAUACGUAGGUCCCGAGCGUUGUCCGGAUUUAUUGGGCGUAAAGCGAGCGCAGGCGGUUAGAUAAGUCUGAAGUUAAAGGCUGUGGCUUAACCAUAGUACGCUUUGGAAACUGUUUAACUUGAGUGCAGAAGGGGAGAGUGGAAUUCCAUGUGUAGCGGUGAAAUGCGUAGAUAUAUGGAGGAACACCGGUGGCGAAAGCGGCUCUCUGGUCUGUAACUGACGCUGAGGCUCGAAAGCGUGGAGAGCGAACAGGAUUAGAUACCCCUGUAGUCCCUGUCUCUUAUACA
Molecule: ribosomal RNA, 301 nt
Filed under: uncultured bacterium
Lineage: Bacteria
Description: partial 16S ribosomal RNA
Rfam family: Bacterial small subunit ribosomal RNA
Source: RNAcentral